AAUAGAUACCCGGGUAGUCCAUGCCGUAAACGUUGGGCGCUAGGUGUGGGGCUCAUUCCACGAGUUCUGUGCCGCAGCUAACGCAUUAAGCGCCCCGCCUGGGGAGUACGGCCGCAAGGCUAAAACUCAAAGGAAUUGACGGGGGCCCGCACAAGCGGCGGAGCAUGCGGAUUAAUUCGAUGCAACGCGAAGAACCUUACCAAGGCUUGACAUACACCGGAAAAGUGCAGAGAUGUGCUCCCCGUAAGGUCGGUGUACAGGUGGUGCAUGGUUGUCGUCAGCUCGUGUCGUGAGAUGUUGGGUUAAGUCCCGCAACGAGCGCAACCCUCGUUCCAUGUUGCCAGUACGUGAUGGUGGGGACUCAUGGGAGACUGCCGGGGUCAACUCGGAGGAAGGUGGGGAUGACGUCAAAUCAUCAUGCCCCUUAUGUCUUGGGCUUCACGCAUGCUACAAUGGUCGGUACAGAGUGCUGCGAAACCGUGAGGUGGAGCGAAUCACUUAAAGCCGGUCUCAGUUCGGAUUGU
Molecule: ribosomal RNA, 524 nt
Filed under: uncultured bacterium
Lineage: Bacteria
Description: bacterial SSU rRNA
Rfam family: Bacterial small subunit ribosomal RNA
Source: RNAcentral